RNAcentral lists this ribosomal RNA (1434 nucleotides) under metagenome. Its description in RNAcentral is "bacterial LSU rRNA". It matches the Rfam family "Bacterial large subunit ribosomal RNA", at positions 1481 to 2911 of the family's 2925-position model. The record is from RNAcentral.
GAUAGGGUAAGCGCGGUAUUGGAUAUCCGCGUCCAAGCAGUUAGGCUGGGAAAUAGGCAAAUCCGUUUCCCAUAAGGCUGAGCUGUGAUGGCGAGCGAAAUAUAGUAGCGAAGUUCCUGAUUCCACACUGCCAAGAAAAGCCUCUAGCGAGGUGAGAGGUGCCCGUACCGCAAACCGACACAGGUAGGCGAGGAGAGAAUCCUAAGGUGAUCGAGAGAACUCUCGUUAAGGAACUCGGCAAAAUGACCCCGUAACUUCGGGGGAAGGGGUGCUCUGUUAGGGUGCAAGCCCGAGAGAGCCGCAGUGAAUAGGCCCAGGCGACUGUUUAGCAAAAACACAGGUCUCUGCGAAGCCGUAAGGCGAAGUAUAGGGGCUGACGCCUGCCCGGUGCUGGAAGGUUAAGAGGAGCGCUUAGCGUAAGCGAAGGUGCGAAUUGAAGCCCCAGUAAACGGCGGCCGUAACAAUAACGGUCCUAAGGUAGCGAAAUUCCUUGUCGGGUAAGUUCCGACCCGCACGAAAGGCGCAACGAUCUGGGCACUGUCUCAACGAGAGACUCGGUGAAAUUAUAGUACCUGUGAAGAUGCAGGUUACCCGCGACAGGACGGAAAGACCCCGUGGAGCUUUACUGCAGCCUGAUAUUGAAUGUUGGUACAGCUUGUACAGGAUAGGUAGGAGCCUUGGAAACCGGAGCGCCAGCUUCGGUGGAGGCAUCGGUGGGAUACUACCCUGGCUGUAUUGACCUUCUAACCCGCCGCCCUUAUCGGGCGGGGAGACAGUGUCAGGUGGGCAGUUUGACUGGGGCGGUCGCCUCCUAAAAGGUAACGGAGGCGCCCAAAGGUUCCCUCAGAAUGGUUGGAAAUCAUUCGCAGAGUGUAAAGGCACAAGGGAGCUUGACUGCGAGACCUACAAGUCGAGCAGGGACGAAAGUCGGGCUUAGUGAUCCGGUGGUUCCGCAUGGAAGGGCCAUCGCUCAACGGAUAAAAGCUACCCCGGGGAUAACAGGCUUAUCUCCCCCAAGAGUCCACAUCGACGGGGAGGUUUGGCACCUCGAUGUCGGCUCAUCGCAUCCUGGGGCUGUAGUCGGUCCCAAGGGUUGGGCUGUUCGCCCAUUAAAGCGGUACGCGAGCUGGGUUCAGAACGUCGUGAGACAGUUCGGUCCCUAUCCGUCGCGGGCGCAGGAAAUUUGAGAGGAGCUGUCCUUAGUACGAGAGGACCGGGAUGGACGCACCGCUGGUGUACCAGUUGUUCUGCCAAGGGCAUCGCUGGGUAGCUAUGUGCGGACGGGAUAAGUGCUGAAAGCAUCUAAGCAUGAAGCCCCCCUCAAGAUGAGAUUUCCCAUUCCGCAAGGAAGUAAGAUCCCUGAAAGAUGAUCAGGUUGAUAGGUCUGAGGUGGAAGUGUGGCGACACAUGGAGCUGACAGAUACUAAUCGAUCA